Molecule: long non-coding RNA, 209 nt
Filed under: Olea europaea (common olive)
Lineage: Eukaryota; Viridiplantae; Streptophyta; Magnoliopsida; Lamiales; Oleaceae
Description: long non-coding RNA (OEUR_LNC000850)
Source: RNAcentral
CACAUUUCACGUUGAUGUUCUGUAUACAAUUUACUCCACGGGAUUUUGAACUAUGUGUGGACUUAAGAUUUGUUUAUGUGUUCUGAAUGUUGAGUUUGUGAUUUUGUGCUUAUUGUUCACAUCGUCUACAUAUUUGGGUACGUGCUUCAUCUUCGAUUUUUGGAUUGUUUUGAUAUAACAAAAAUUCAAAAUGAAAAUAAAAAUAAACG